Long non-coding RNA from Juglans microcarpa x Juglans regia, 469 nucleotides. RefSeq lists it as uncharacterized. NCBI's taxonomy places the organism in Eukaryota, Viridiplantae, Streptophyta, Magnoliopsida, Fagales, Juglandaceae. The transcript is spliced from 3 exons. The record is from RefSeq and is a predicted model, not a curated record.
UUGCGAGUUGGUAUUUCCCACCGGAGGUUGAUUACAGGCUCGAUGCACUGCCUCCAGAUGCCAAAGGACUUGUGGAGUGGAUAAUUGAAGCCAAGGUUCUUUCCAAGUCGGAAUUGCAGUUUCUCGCUCUGAUUCCCUUGCUGUGACCCAAAGUCAGGGUCAUUGCUGAAUGCGGUAACUGGAGAAAGUGUAUGUGGAAGCCACUCAAAGAGAUUGCGGGACUAACUGAGAUUAAGGAAGUAUGACAACACAAAGACCUACACAGAGAACGUCAGCACAUAUUCUGUGUCUGGCUUUGCUCCGAUCGUCCUCUCAGCUUAAGGCAUCUAUAAUGCACGGCAGGUGGGACAAAAGUUCAAGAAGAUUUUAAUGGAGAACAGGAAACAAGCCAGAGCCCUUGCAAAUCAUUAACCAAGCAAGUACUAUGUUCUUCUUGAACUGAUGUAGUACAGAAUAUAUUUCAAUCCAA